Molecule: transfer RNA, 69 nt
Filed under: Anolis fitchi
Lineage: Eukaryota; Metazoa; Chordata; Lepidosauria; Squamata; Anolidae
Description: tRNA-Tyr
Source: RNAcentral
GAUAAAGAAGGGAAUUAAACCCAUAUAUGUAGGACUACAGCCUACUGCCUUACACUCGGCCACUUUAAC